UAAUGGCGGAUAUCACAAUGGUUUGUAAGUGAGGAGAAACAUUGCACAGUCAAGCUAGAAGUGUUAUUUCAAAUAUAUAAUAAGUACUUUGGAAGAUAGAGAUACAUGCAAUGCUUGGAGGACAAGAUGGGUGGGUCAUAACCUCCCAUCUUCUUUCCUGUUUAUAUGGACAGGAAAGAAGAAAAAGAAAUCUAUGUAAAAUAAUAUCUUCAAUGAAACUUCAUUCACUACUAGUGUUUCUAUAUCAACAAUUAAAAAAAUUGUUACCGAAGAAAGCAAAACACCAGAUGAUACCUGAAAAUGGUAAACAUGCCAAUUAAAUUGUCAAUACCUGUUGGAGAUGCACCUUCCUUGGCUUGGCCAUGCCAUAGUAAAGU
Molecule: long non-coding RNA, 377 nt
Filed under: Androctonus crassicauda
Lineage: Eukaryota; Metazoa; Arthropoda; Arachnida; Scorpiones; Buthidae
Source: RNAcentral